AGAGUUUGAUCAUGGCUCAGGAUGAACGCUAGCUACAGGCUUAACACAUGCAAGUCGAGGGGCAGCAUGACGGAAGCUUGCUUCCGUUGAUGGCGACCGGCGCACGGGUGAGUAACGCGUAUCCAACCUGCCCUUGUCCAUCGGAUAACCCGUCGAAAGGCGGACUAACACGAUAUACAGUUCUCAGCAGGCAUCUAACGAGAACGAAAUGUGAAGGAGAAGGAUGGGGAUGCGUCUGAUUAGCUUGUUGGCGGGGUAACGGCCCACCAAGGCGACGAUCAGUAGGGGUUCUGAGAGGAAGGUCCCCCACAUUGGAACUGAGACACGGUCCAAACUCCUACGGGAGGCAGCAGUGAGGAAUAUUGGUCAAUGGGCGAGAGCCUGAACCAGCCAAGUAGCGUGCAGGAUGACGGCCCUAUGGGUUGUAAACUGCUUUUAUACGGGGAUAAAGUGGGUCACGUGUGGCUUAUUGCAGGUACCGUAUGAAUAAGGACCGGCUAAUUCCGUGCCAGCAGCCGCGGUAAUACGGAAGGUCCGGGCGUUAUCCGGAUUUAUUGGGUUUAAAGGGAGCGUAGGCCGUCUGUUAAGCGUGUUGUGAAAUGUCGGGGCUCAACCUGGGCAUUGCAGCGCGAACUGGCAGACUUGAGUGCGCAGGAAGUAGGCGGAAUUCGUCGUGUAGCGGUGAGAUGCUUAGAUAUGACGAAGAACUCCGAUUGCGAAGGCAGCCUGCUGUAGCGUAACUGACGCUGAAGCUCGAAAGCGUGGGUAUCGAACAGGAUUAGAUACCCUGGUAGUCCACGCGGUAAACGAUGGAUGCUCGCUGUUUGCGUCUGACGUAAGCGGCC
RNAcentral lists this ribosomal RNA (845 nucleotides) under uncultured bacterium. RNAcentral's name for it is "bacterial SSU rRNA". It matches the Rfam family "Bacterial small subunit ribosomal RNA", at positions 8 to 848 of the family's 1533-position model. The record is from RNAcentral.